This 497-nucleotide ribosomal RNA is filed under the name uncultured bacterium. Its description in RNAcentral is "partial 16S ribosomal RNA". It matches the Rfam family "Bacterial small subunit ribosomal RNA", at positions 28 to 507 of the family's 1533-position model. The record is from RNAcentral.
GAUGAACGCUGGCGGCGUGCCUAAUACAUGCAAGUCGAGCGAACAGACGAGGAAUUUGCUCCUGUGACGUUAGCGGCGGACGGGUGAGUAACACGUGGAUAACCUACCUAUAUGACUGGUAUAACUUCGGGAAACCGGAGCUAAUACCGGGUGAUAUAUUGAACCGCAUGGUUCAAUAGUGAAAGACGGUUUUGCUGUCACUUAUAGAUGGAUCCGCGCCGCAUUAGCUAGUUGGUAAGGUAACGGCUUACCAAGGCAACGAUGCGUAGCCGACCUGAGAGGGUGAUCGGCCACACGGGAACUGAGACACGGUCCAGACUCCUACGGGAGGCAGCAGUAGGGAAUCUUCCGCAAUGGGCGAAAGCCUGACGGAGCAACGCCGCGUGAGUGAUGAAGGUCUUCGGAUCGUAAAACUCUGUUAUUAGGGAAGAACAAAUGUGGAAGUAACUAUGCACGUCUUGACGGUACCUAAUCAGAGAGCCACGGCUAACUACGUG